AUUCAAUCUGCAUUUAUUUGUUUCUUGACAGAAGAAGAUAAAGUAAUAGCAGUGCUCUGUUUUCUUUCUAGCCAGGAAUAGAUAGCUGCAGUUUACCCUCUGGUGUAAACUGUGCAGGGUUUCGUGGUGUUUCAGAUGAAUGAUGCUGCUGCUCUCUGAAAGUAAAUCCUGGUGUCCUGGAGUGAGUCUCAGGUUGUUCUGCUGUUUGUUUCUGUAGCAGCCCAGGAAAGAAGUGCAUCAAGCCAGAUUUAUCUUCUUGCUAAUGCCAGAAGUGGCUGUGGCAGAGACAGACGAGUGGUUGUGACCUGUGAGUUACUUGUGCCUGAAUCCAAGAAUUCCACAGUUAAUUAAGGAAGUGAAAAUGAAGCAGUGGAAGAACCUGACACUGCAGAACAAACAGUUUGCAAGAAGGAAAUGUUUCAUGUAGACAUUGAAGAAUAACUUUGUGACCCUAUGGGUUAUCUUUCCGAGCAGCCAGACAGACAUGCGAGAUGAUGACAGAGAGACUUUCAGUCUCCGUGCCCACGUGAUGCUUGGAAGGGACCUCUUCCCCCUCACCAGAGAGCAAUGUAGACUGCCAGACCCAGUGUCUCAUAGACUGCAAGCAGGGACAUUACUACACAGCUGGCAACUGCUUGGAAUGUCCUACAGGCUUCUAGUAAGUCUCCUUCCUUCCCUCUCUCUCAGAGCUUCUGCAAUAAGCAAGUU
This 708-nucleotide long non-coding RNA is filed under the name Phasianus colchicus (ring-necked pheasant). Its description in RNAcentral is "lncRNA (ENSPCLG00000009811.1)". Lineage: Eukaryota; Metazoa; Chordata; Aves; Galliformes; Phasianidae. The record is from RNAcentral.